UUUUGCAUCAUGGUCUAACUAGUUUAACCAAGCAAAACGAAUUUUAAGUUUGCCUCCCCGAAACUAAGCGAGCUACUUCAAAACAGCCUUACGAGCCAACCCGUCUCUGUUGCAAAAGAGUGGGAAGAUUUUCAAGUAGAGGUGACACACCUAUCGAGCCUAGAGAUAGCUGGUUAUUCAAGAAAAGGAUAUAGUCCAACUUUAAACCUCAACACAACCUAAAAUAUACCCCCAGGUUUAAAAUUUAUUCAAAUAAGGUACAGCCUAUUUGAAACAGGAUACAACCUAUUACGCAGGGUAAUGUUUUACGAUAUGACAAAGUAGGCCUAAGAGCAGCCACCUUAUAAAAAGCGUUACAGCUUCACCAUAGAUAUCACCAAUCCCAACUAAAACUCAAAACCCUCUAUCGAUAUUGAAUGACCCCAUACUUAUAUGGAAAACCCUAUGUUAGAACUAGUAACAAGAAUAAAUUCUCCGCCAAAAGCACGUGUAAACCGGAAUGAACUAUUUCCCCGGUAUUUACCGCCAAUGAAUAAAUAGUAGCAACAACACAAGAAAACCCUACUUACCCCCAGCGUUAACCUCACACCAGAGCUUUCCAGGAAGAUUAAAAAAAGGGGAAGGAACUCGGCAAAUAGUAACCCCGCCU
RNAcentral lists this ribosomal RNA (649 nucleotides) under Choerophryne pandanicola. RNAcentral's name for it is "partial 16S ribosomal RNA". The stretch from base 1 to 452 matches the Rfam family "Bacterial large subunit ribosomal RNA", at positions 606 to 1301 of the family's 2925-position model. The record is from RNAcentral. Lineage: Eukaryota; Metazoa; Chordata; Amphibia; Anura; Microhylidae.